UACGUAGGGGGCUAGCGUUGUCCGGAUUUAUUGGGCGUAAAGAGCGUGUAGGCGGCCAUGUAGGUCCGGUGUGAAAACUCGAGGCUUAACCUCGAGAUGUCAUCGGAAACCAUUUGGCUAGAGUCCGGAAGAGGAGGGUGGAAUUCCCGGUGUAGCGGUGAAAUGCGCAGAUAUCGGGAAGAACACCCGUGGCGAAGGCGGCUCUCUGGGACGGUACUGACGCUGAGACGCGAAAGCGUGGGGAGCGAACAGG
Molecule: ribosomal RNA, 253 nt
Filed under: uncultured bacterium
Lineage: Bacteria
Description: partial 16S ribosomal RNA
Rfam family: Bacterial small subunit ribosomal RNA
Source: RNAcentral